This 84-nucleotide transfer RNA is filed under the name Streptomyces zaomyceticus. RNAcentral's name for it is "tRNA-Arg". The record is from RNAcentral. Lineage: Bacteria; Bacillati; Actinomycetota; Actinomycetes; Kitasatosporales; Streptomycetaceae.
UGCGGCGGCUGCUGGUGCUGCUGCGGCUGCUGCCGCUGCGGGCGGCGGCGCAGCGGGUCCUGGCUCGGGUCCAGGUACUGCACC